Molecule: long non-coding RNA, 246 nt
Filed under: Amborella trichopoda
Lineage: Eukaryota; Viridiplantae; Streptophyta; Magnoliopsida; Amborellales; Amborellaceae
Description: long non-coding RNA (ATRI_LNC000007)
Source: RNAcentral
CAAUGGUCAAUUUCUGUACAUAUUACCUUCUUCUCCUUGCUCUCCCUCAAAAAACUCUGUCCACCAAAGGAAUGCCUAACGCAUUCUACUCAAAGUAACCGUUAAGGCUCACUCCUUCGCCGCACUACCUCCUUCGUUUCUGUUCGAACUUAGAUGCAUAAGAUCUAGUAGGCUAUUUACCAGUUAUUGAGCUGGCCGAAGCCGUUCGAUCGCGGGCAUCGAACUCACACGCCACACCAUCAUGGC